UCAAGGUGUAAGGUAACACGGUAAGGCUUGGUCAGCAGGUCUAGGUGUGGCAGCCUGUUUCCCAACUGCAGAUCAGCUUAGGGGAAGCAGAAAUUUCUCUGCACUGAGUCAGGACCAAAAGCAGAACAUCACAGCUACCAAGUGCAGCCGAUCAGACGUGCCUAGGAAAGCGAUGAUGCCCAUCGAUUGGUGUGAACUUUCUAGAAACGUCUAGGAAACAGGAUGUUUGCGCUUGGGAUUUACCCACCAUAUUGUGAGGAAGCCUAUACUACAUGGAGAGGCCAUGUGAUGUUCCAGCCAACAGUACCGUGUCAGAUGCCAGCUGCCAGCCAGCAUCAACUCCAGACAGAUGGAACCAUGUAGUUGCAGGAAAACAAGUGCAAGGCUUCUACUGAUUCUACAUUAUGGUGUCUGUACUCCUCCCUGACCAUGUGCUUCAGGAGACGCCAAUCCCAGCCCCAUUCCUAGACCACAGUGGCGAAUCAGUUUGAUCUAAGCCAAUCAUGUUGAUGCUAUUCUAGUUAGCUGUGAUUGGCUGAGGAAGAUGUGGGUUGAUGAAGAUAAUCCCCCCACUCUCCACAGCCACUGAGAAGAUUAGGUCCUUCUUUGGAUUUGAAUGUAUUUUUCUAUUAAUAUCUAUAAAUGUUUUCAAUCUCCAUAACACUAUUAUACUUUUGUUAGCUCAUGUCAAACUUGUAUAAAACUAAUACCCCUGGAUCAAUUUUACAUGAAGGGUUAUUAAACCAGGUUAACUGUCUUCUGUAGCACUGUCUGUGAUUUUCUGAACAAAAUUCAGGGUUGAUAAUCUUUCUCCAACUUCAAAAUAUAGUACAAGAAGUGAAAUUUAUUUCUGUACACCUGUUUGGUAACUGUUGGAAUUUCAGUUCCAGAAAAACAGAAUUGUGUGGAUUGUGAGUCACUUCUGCUGGGGAUAAUUAGAAAGAGAGGAAAUUGGGAGUUGGGAGUGAAAAGGGGAGAUCAAGCAGAUGGCAGAGGAAGGAUGGAGAUUUUCACAGUGAAUCCUUGGGGAGACAAAGGAAGAUAAAGCACAGUAAACUCAUAAGGGUAUUCAGGUGACAUCUGUGAGGAGGAGUCGAGGAGCCGGGAGUCGAGAUAUGAGAGAGAGGAUUUGAUAGACAUGUGAUCUGGGGAGGGGACAGAAGCAUCUUCUGAGUCAUGCAAUCAAGAAGGCAUUGAUCAUUUG
Molecule: long non-coding RNA, 1204 nt
Filed under: Homo sapiens (human)
Lineage: Eukaryota; Metazoa; Chordata; Mammalia; Primates; Hominidae
Description: HSALNT0070485
Source: RNAcentral